CAUACCAGCAGUGGAAACUGGGCGACUAGAGUGCGGUAGGGGUCAGGAGAAUUCCCAGUGUAGCGGUGAAAUGCGUAGAUAUUGGGAAGAACACCAGCGGCGAAAGCGCGUGACUGGGCCAUUACUGACACUCAUGGACGAAAGCUAAGGGAGCGAAAGGGAUUAGAUACCCCUGUAGUCCUAGCCGUAAACGAUGGACACUAGGUGUUGCCCGAUCGACCCGGGCAGUGCCGUAGCUAACGCGCUAAGUGUCCCGCCUGGGGAGUACGCACGCAAGUGUGAAACUCAAAGGAAUUGACGGGGGCCCGCACAAGCGGUGGAGUAUGUGGUUUAAUUCGAUGCAACGCGAAGAACCUUACCAGGACUUGACAUGUCGCGAAUCCCCUUGACAGGGGGGAGUGCCUACGGGAGCGCGAGCACAGGUGGUGCAUGGCUGUCGUCAGCUCGUGUCGUGAGAUGUUGGGUUAAGUCCCGCAACGAGCGCAACCCACGUUUCUAGUUGCCAGCAUUCAGUUGGGCACUUUAGAGAGACUGCCGGUGACAAACCGGAGGAAGGUGUGGAUGACGUCAAGUCAGCAUGCCCCUUACGUCCUGGGCUACACACGUACUACAAUGCUUCGGACAGAGGGUUGCCAGCCCGCGAGGGUGCGCUAAUCCCGUAAACCGAGGCUCAGUUCAGAUUGCAGGCUGCAACUCGCCUGCAUGAAGGCGGAAUCGCUAGUAAUCGCCGGUCAGCAUACGGCGGUGAUACGUUCCCGGGCCUUGUACACACCGCCCGUCACACCAUGGGAGUUGGCCACGCCCGAAGUUGUUACCCUAACCUUC
Molecule: ribosomal RNA, 825 nt
Filed under: uncultured cyanobacterium
Lineage: Bacteria; Bacillati; Cyanobacteriota
Description: bacterial SSU rRNA
Rfam family: Bacterial small subunit ribosomal RNA
Source: RNAcentral